UACGGAGGGUGCAAGCGUUAAUCGGAAUUACUGGGCGUAAAGCGCACGUAGGCGGUAAGUUAAGCCAGCUGUGAAAUCCCCGGGCUCAACCUGGGAAUUGCAGUUGGAACUGGCUUGCUAGAGUAGGAUAGAGGGGUGUGGAAUUUCAGGUGUAGCGGUGAAAUGCGUAGAUAUCUGAAGGAACAUCAGUGGCGAAGGCGACACCCUGGAUUCAUACUGACGCUGAGGUGCGAAAGCGUGGGGAGCAAAC
RNAcentral lists this ribosomal RNA (250 nucleotides) under uncultured bacterium. Its description in RNAcentral is "partial 16S ribosomal RNA". It matches the Rfam family "Bacterial small subunit ribosomal RNA", at positions 524 to 773 of the family's 1533-position model. The record is from RNAcentral.